RNAcentral lists this long non-coding RNA (236 nucleotides) under Gallus gallus (chicken). The record is from RNAcentral. Lineage: Eukaryota; Metazoa; Chordata; Aves; Galliformes; Phasianidae.
CUGGAUCCCUCUGUAGGGCCUUCUUGCCCUCAAGCCAAUCAACACCUCUUCCCAACUUGGCAUCUCCCGCAGGCUUACUUUGAGUGAGGGUGCACUCAAUCCCUUCGUCCAGACCAUCAAUAAAGAUAUUAAACAGGACUGCCCUCAAUACUGACCCCUGGAGAGCACCUCUUGUGACUCUUCCUCAUCACUGGGAAUGCCAGUUAGGCACCAAGGCAGUGGAAAAUGCCCACGCC